This is a long non-coding RNA of Bacillus rossius redtenbacheri, 701 nucleotides long. RefSeq lists it as uncharacterized. The record is from RefSeq and is a predicted model, not a curated record. NCBI's taxonomy places the organism in Eukaryota, Metazoa, Arthropoda, Insecta, Phasmatodea, Bacillidae. The transcript is spliced from 2 exons.
UAUCAGCUUAAUUGUUUUUGUUAAUGUUUGUGGGAACGAAAUUAGAGCAGAUCCAGGCAGACCAUGUAAACUAGGUCCGAAUGUCGAACAGAAUGUAUUGUUUACUUUUUUCCUUCCGAUCUUGUGUGGUAAAAUGCAAAUAACUGUUACAAGGUGACUAAGUGUAUUGAAAAGAUAGGUUUUCAAAAUAAUUCCUUUGUUCCAACGCAAUAACCAUUAAAUCAAUAUUUACUAAUUGUGAAUUUUUAGAAAACUUUGUUUCUUUCUUUCGGGAGAUUGAUAGCAUCAGGCAGCAAUUACAGAAAUGGCAUGUAUCCCAUGCAUAGUUAUACCGUUCUUUCUCUUCAUCUGGCAUCGUUACCUCCAGCCAAUUUUACUACGGUUCUGGAAUCCUUGGCAAAAAAUUGAGAACAAGAAGGAAGCCAUCAACGCAACAGAAUCUCAUCAAUUGAAAACAAGUGAAAAUGGUGGUAUCGCUGCAGUUUCCACCACUGAAGUUGAUGCUAGCCCUUCUUACACAGACAAGAACAAGUGUGACUAACCAAAAUUAAAAUUUUUGUAACAGUUUAUCAUUCCAAGGCAUACUAUAUUUAUCACUUGCAUUCCUGGUGUGCUGGAGAGAUUCUUUUGUUUCACUUCACAUACUCAAUUAUAUGUACAUAGCACUGUAAAUUAUGUAAUUAAAAUUAAAUUAUAAAUAA